CGUAAGAUUGUAAACUCCUGUUAGAGGGAAGAAUAAUCCCGAUCGAAUCGGGACUUGACUGUACCCUCAGAGAAAGCCCCGGCUAACUACGUGCCAGCAGCCGCGGUAAUACGUAGGGGGCUAGCGUUGUCCGGAUUUACUGGGUGUAAAGGGCGCGCAGGCGGAUUAGUAAGUCAGAGGUGAAAUCCUACGGCCUAACCGUAGAACUGCCUUUGAAACUAUUAAUCUUGAGUUCGGAAGAGAGAGACGGAAUUCCAGGUGUAGUGGUGAAAUACGUAGAUAUCUGGAAGAACACCAGUUGCGAAGGCGGUCUCUUGGUCCGAUACUGACGCUCAGGCGCGAAAGCGUGGGUAGCAAACAGGAUUAGAUACCCUGGUAGUCCACGCUGUAAACGAUGAAUACUAGGUGCAGGUUCCUAUGGGAUCAGUGCCGCAGCUAACGCAUUAAGUAUUCCACCUGGGGAGUACGAUCGCAAGGUUG
This 480-nucleotide ribosomal RNA is filed under the name uncultured bacterium. Its description in RNAcentral is "bacterial SSU rRNA". It matches the Rfam family "Bacterial small subunit ribosomal RNA", at positions 416 to 896 of the family's 1533-position model. The record is from RNAcentral.